GGUCCGGCCGGGAACUCAAAGGAGACUGCCAGUGAUAAACUGGAGGAAGGUGGGGAUGACGUCAAGUCAUCAUGGCCCUUACGAGUAGGGCUACACACGUGCUACAAUGGCGCAUACAAAGAGAAGCGACCUCGCGAGAGCAAGCGGACCUCAUAAAGUGCGUCGUAGUCCGGAUUGGAGUCUGCAACUCGACUCCAUGAAGUCGGAAUCGCUAGUAAUCGUGGAUCAGAAUGCCACGGUGAAUACGUUCCCGGGCCUUGUACACACCGCCCGUCACACCAUGGGAGUGGGUUGCAAAAG
This 300-nucleotide ribosomal RNA is filed under the name Pluralibacter gergoviae. Its description in RNAcentral is "bacterial SSU rRNA". It matches the Rfam family "Bacterial small subunit ribosomal RNA", at positions 1124 to 1423 of the family's 1533-position model. Lineage: Bacteria; Pseudomonadati; Pseudomonadota; Gammaproteobacteria; Enterobacterales; Enterobacteriaceae. The record is from RNAcentral.